Molecule: ribosomal RNA, 480 nt
Filed under: uncultured bacterium
Lineage: Bacteria
Description: bacterial SSU rRNA
Rfam family: Bacterial small subunit ribosomal RNA
Source: RNAcentral
UUGAACGCUGGCGGAAUGCUUUACACAUGCAAGUCGAGCGGCAGCGCGGGGCAACCUGGCGGCGAGCGGCGAACGGGUGAGUAAUAUAUCGGAACGUACCCUGUCGUGGGGGAUAACACAUCGAAAGAUGUGCUAAUACCGCAUACGACCUGAGGGGGAAAGCGGGGGACCUUCGGGCCUCGCGCGAUUGGAGCGGCUGAUGUCGGAUUAGCUAGUUGGUGGGGUAAAGGCCUACCAAGGCGACGAUCCGUAGCUGGUCUGAGAGGAUGAUCAGCCACACUGGGACUGAGACACGGCCCAGACUCCUACGGGAGGCAGCAGUGGGGAAUUUUGGACAAUGGGGGCAACCCUGAUCCAGCCAUUCCGCGUGAGUGAAGAAGGCCUUCGGGUUGUAAAGCUCUUUCAGCAGGAGCGAAACGGUCGUUUUUAAUACAGACGGCUAAUGACGGUACCUGCAGAAGAAGCACCGGCUAACUACGU